UACGUAGGGGGCAAGAGUUGUACGGAUUUACUGGGUGUAAAGGGUGCUCAGGCGGAUCUAUAAGUCAGAGGUGAAAUCCCGAGGCUUAACCUUGGAACUGCCUUUGAUACUAUAGUUCUAGAGUUCGGGAGAGGGUGAUGGAAUAUCUGGUGUAGCAGUGAAAUGCGUAGAUAUCAGAUAGAACACCAAUGGCGAAGGCAGUCACCUGGCCCGUAACUGACGAUAAAGCACGAAAGCGUGGGGUGCAAACAGG
Molecule: ribosomal RNA, 253 nt
Filed under: uncultured bacterium
Lineage: Bacteria
Description: partial 16S ribosomal RNA
Rfam family: Bacterial small subunit ribosomal RNA
Source: RNAcentral